Armillaria borealis is the source of this 81-nucleotide non-coding RNA. Lineage: Eukaryota; Fungi; Basidiomycota; Agaricomycetes; Agaricales; Physalacriaceae. The record is from the annotation of a GenBank genome assembly.
UCUCUGGUAGUGUAUUGGUCAUUACGCGUGCUGAUGAUAUUCUCUUCGCACGGAAGCUCGGUUCGAAUCCCAGUCAGAGUU